RNAcentral lists this ribosomal RNA (473 nucleotides) under uncultured bacterium. RNAcentral's name for it is "bacterial SSU rRNA". It matches the Rfam family "Bacterial small subunit ribosomal RNA", at positions 8 to 496 of the family's 1533-position model. The record is from RNAcentral.
AGAGUUUGAUCCUGGCUCAGAGUGAACGCUGGCGGCGUGCCUAAUACAUGCAAGUCGAACGAUGAAGCUUCUAGCUUGCUAGAAGUGGAUUAGUGGCGCACGGGUGAGUAAGGUAUAGUUAAUCUGCCCUACACAAGAGGACAACAGUUGGAAACGACUGCUAAUACUCUAUACUCCUGCUUAACACAAGUUGAGUAGGGAAAGUUUUUCGGUGUAGGAUGAGACUAUAUAGUAUCAGCUAGUUGGUAAGGUAAUGGCUUACCAAGGCUAUGACGCUUAACUGGUCUGAGAGGAUGAUCAGUCACACUGGAACUGAGACACGGUCCAGACUCCUACGGGAGGCAGCAGUAGGGAAUAUUGCGCAAUGGGGGAAACCCUGACGCAGCAACGCCGCGUGGAGGAUGACACUUUUCGGAGCGUAAACUCCUUUUCUUAGGGAAGAAUUCUGACGGUACCUAAGGAAUAAGCACCGG